RNAcentral lists this long non-coding RNA (1789 nucleotides) under Equus asinus (donkey). RNAcentral describes it as "lncRNA (ENSEASG00005031574.1)". The record is from RNAcentral. Lineage: Eukaryota; Metazoa; Chordata; Mammalia; Perissodactyla; Equidae.
CUUAUUCACUUACCGAAGAGCUGUCUUUAUUCGUAUUCAUUUUACAACAGAAAAAUUGAGUUCCCACAGGGAAGUUGUGGGACAAUGUCAGCAUUUCUGUCCAACCAAGUCCCCACACCUUGGUCUCUCCCAUGAUGCUCCCCAAUCUCACUGCUCCCCUGAGGCCUGAGAGGGUGAGCACCUUCCCCUUCAUAGAUCCCCCACAACACACACACACACACACACACACACACACACACACACACACACAGGCACGACUGCAUCCUGUCUGCAAAAGGCCCCUUGGCUUUUCUCUGCCACAACCGCCUCCCCAUUUACCCCUCGUGGCGCUGGUACUGAAAGUUUCUGGACACACUCCCUGCACUCAGUUGUUCAGGGGGCACUUAUUGACAGCUGGCUGCACACAUCUGGGGAAGACCAACAAAAUCUCUUGGGUGGGGGAGGGUGAAAUGGGUGGAGGGAAUCAAAAGGUACAAACCAGCAGUUAUAAAAUAAAUAAGUGAGGGGAUGUAACAUUCAGCAUGGUGACUAUAGCUAAUAAUACUGUAUUGCAUACUUGAAAGUUGCUAGAGAGUAGAUCUUAAAAGUUCUAAUCACAAGAAAAACAAUUGUGUAACUAUGUAUGGCAAUGGAUGUUAACUAGACUUAUUAUGUUGUACACCUACAACUAAUAUAAUGUUAUAUGUCAAUUAUGCCUCAAUUUAAAAAUUAAUUUUUUUAAAAAAAAGAAAGUCUCUUGCCCUGAGUAGCCUCACAGUCUGGCUGCCUGACAGGGCACAUGGUAAGGUGGAGAAAAUCAUAAAGCAACAUGGACAAGAAGAGCAGAACCCUCAGAUACACCAGACAUAAGAUCCGGAGGAGACGGGGGAGAGGGGCUGCUCCUGGACAGAGCAGAUGGAGAAGUCCCCUCGGUUUCCAGCUUUGACUCUCCUGGGGAAACUGCAAAUUCCCUGGAACAAAGCUGAAAAUGGCUGGUGGGCACCUGACCUCUCUGAGGAGCCAUCUUCCUUGCCAAGAAGACACUGGCUCAGACAGCUGGAAGCAGAGCUUCAAAGGAACAACAAGUCUUCCACUUCGAUUCCAUCUCUCAGUUUCCAUUUGGAGAAGAGACUCAGAGGAGGGAAACAGGAGACCAGUAGGCAGGCUGCAACCUCCCAGAGACCCAGACAUCCUGGUGGGGAGUGGGGGAGGCAGUUGACCAUUUGACAGUGGUCCCAGCUUCAAGGAUGGAGAACAGCUGCGCCUCCUCCCAGAUCUUCCAUGGGGAAUGUUCACACCACCUGCCAUCACAUUCAUAGUUCUACUUGUUAUAACUGUCUGGAUCUCCCACCCAGAAUGGGACCCUCUGGAGGGCAGAGCAUGGGAGGCCAGAGAUGCUUCAGGGCAAACUGACUUCCUAACACCCAAAGCUGGGUCAGGCUCAGAGACCCCAUGAGGAAGGCAGGCCAGGAAGAUUAGCCCUGAGCUAACGUCUGCCUCCAAUCCUCCUCUUUUUGCUGAGGAAGACUGGCCCUGAGCUAACAUCUGUGCUCAUCUUCCUCUACUUUAUAUGCGGGACGCCUGCCACAGCAUGGCUUGACAAGCGGUGCCAUGUCCGCACCUGGCAUCUGAACCAGUGAACCCCAGGCCGCCAAAGCGGAACAUGCAAACUUAACCAGUGCGCCACCAGGCCAGCCCCUUAAAUUUCUUUAAUAUUUUAAUAGAUUCCUUCCUUGUACUAGACUCCAGCACAUGAUUACUCUUCUCUUCCAAAAAAAAUUGAAUAAAUAAUUCCUUGUGCUAUCUCUAA